Artibeus jamaicensis (Jamaican fruit-eating bat) is the source of this 2405-nucleotide RNA transcript. It is a transcript of the gene named thioesterase superfamily member 5, with no coding region annotated. The transcript is spliced from 7 exons. NCBI's taxonomy places the organism in Eukaryota, Metazoa, Chordata, Mammalia, Chiroptera, Phyllostomidae. The record is from RefSeq and is a predicted model, not a curated record.
AGCCAUGAUAAGAAGAGGCCUCCAAGGGGCAGCAAGACUCAGCCACCACAGAGCCCUUCCUGGUGCCCCCCACAUGCUGCCCAGACUCAACCCUGCCUCAGCAUUCGGAUCCUCCACAGACUCCCUGGUCUCAAGAUUCUGCCCAGAGAAGACAGAUUUAAAGGAUUAUGCCCUUCCCAAUGCCAGCUGGUGUCCAGACAUGCUGAGCCUUUACCAGGAAUUUCUGGAGAAGACUAAGGCCGAUGGCUGGAUCAAAUUGCCUUCCUUCAAGUCCAACAGAGAUCACAUCCAGGGGCUCAAGCUCCCAUCUGGGUUAGCAGUCACCUCAGACAAAGGUGACUGGCGCCUCUUCACCAGGUGCAUCCCAGUGGAAGGGCAAGGCUACGAGUAUGUCAUCUUUUUCCACCCAUCCAAGAAGAAGUCCGUCUGUCUUUUCCAACCAGGCCCCUACUUGGAGGGGGCCCCCGGGUUUGCCCACGGAGGGUCCCUGGCAGCUAUGAUGGACGAGACCUUCUCUAAAACUGCCUACCUGGCUGGAGAGGGACUGUUCACACUAAGCCUCAACAUCAGGUUCAAAAACUUGAUCCCCGUGGGCUCUCUGGCUGUACUGAACAUUGAUGUGGAAAAGACUGAGGACCAGAAGCUUCACAUGUCCUGCGUCGCCCAAAGCAGAGACCAGAAGACGAUCUAUGCCAAGUCCUCAGGUGUUUUCCUUCAGCUGCAGCUGGAACAGGAGUAGCAGUCCCUCUACCUUCAGGAGAGCCUACCUCUGACUGUCCUGCCUGCCUGGGACCCACUGCAGGGCAGGGAGGGCUCCCCAGGGAAGCCGCUGAUGAGCCAAGCCCAGCUGGAGAAAGAACAGUACCACGCUGUCCAGUCACUUUAAAGUCAUGACCACUACCCUCAAGUGGGACUGUGGGACUGCCCAGUGGUCAUCCUGCAGCUUCCUACACCAUCCACUCUCCUGCUCUCCUAGGUGACCGCUUUAUUCCUGGUCCUCUCUACUCCAGCCCCUAGAACCACCUCCUCUCUGCUGACGACCUUGCUUCCUGUUUCACGGGGAAAUCAGAAGCAUCUACGAAAAAUAAGCUUCCACCACCAUAGCUCCACCCAUUUUUUUCACCGUUUCUCCAGUAACUGUGGGUGAACUGUUCCCACAGCAGGCACGGUCUGUCUUAUGCGCCACACCUAUUUCUUCUUGUCUACUCAAGAAUAUUGCUCCCAAAAUUCUCCUCUCUUCUGUGUUAUCAAUUUCCCCCUUUCUAUUGGGUCUUUCCCAUUUGCAGAACAGCACAGCAUUAGUUCUGUCAUUGAAAAAAUUCUCUCUUGAUUACCCCUCCCCCUCUGGCCAUUACCCCACUUCUCUCUUCUCUUUCAGCAAACUCUCCAAGAGCCUUUGCUCUCCCUCUUCCUCCUACUCUUUCUCGGGGCCACUCCAGUGUGCCUUUUGCCUCCACCACUCCACCAAAACUGCUCCUGUCAAAGUCACCAGUGACUUUGCAUUGCUAAAUCCAAUGGUCAGUUCUCAGGCCUCAUCGUACCAGACCUUGCCACAGCAUCUGGAACAGCUGGUUCCUCAUCCUCCCCACCUCUAAAUGCUGGAGAGCCCAGGAUUCGGUCCUUGGAUCCUUUUUCUUUGCUACCUACACUUCAUCAAGUCUUGUGACUUUAAAUUCCAUCUACAUUUCUCUUGGUGCCCACAUUUAUACUUCCUGUCUGGAUCUUUCCUCUGAGCUCCAGAUUCGCAUAUCCAACUGCUUACUCCACAUCUCUAGUUAGAUGUCUAAUGGGCAUCUCAAAUUUAAUAAAUCUAAAACUGAGCUCCUAAUACUUCCCCCUCUCAGUAAAUGGCAACUCCAUUCUGCCAGUUGCUCAGGCCAAAAACCUUAUCAUUCUUUUCCUUUCGAUAGGGAUAAGAACCCUAUUGACUUCAUCUUCAGAAUAUGACCAGAAACUAACUGCUCCAACCCUAUCCAUGCCCCAGUUAUCUCAUGCAAAGAUUACUUCAAAAGUCUAUCUCAUCUCCCUACUUACAUCCUUAUCCCCCUACUUACAGCCACCAGAGCAACGCUUCCAACACUUGUCAAGUUACAUCACUUCUCAGCUCACCAGAAGUAAAAGCUGAAAUUGUUUCAGUGGUUACAGGCUCCACCAAUUCUAACCUCAUCUUCCCCUCACUCAUUCUGUUCCAGCUGCACUGGCCUCUUUGCCUCCUCCACACUCCAGGCAUGCUUCUGCCUCAGGGGCUUUGCGUUUGCAACUUUUCUACAUAGAACAGUUUAGCCUCACAUAUCCUCCCUGCCUCCUUCAUAUCAUUACGGAAACAUUAUGUUCCCAAAGUGGCCACCCUGACCACACUAUUGAAAAUUGCAUACUCUUCUGAUACUGUCUGUGAGCCUUCCCUA